AAAAAAGCCGGAAUAGCUCG
RNAcentral lists this transfer RNA (20 nucleotides) under Trachycystis microphylla. RNAcentral's name for it is "partial tRNA-Phe". Lineage: Eukaryota; Viridiplantae; Streptophyta; Bryopsida; Bryales; Mniaceae. The record is from RNAcentral.